RNAcentral lists this ribosomal RNA (734 nucleotides) under uncultured soil bacterium. RNAcentral's name for it is "bacterial SSU rRNA". It matches the Rfam family "Bacterial small subunit ribosomal RNA", at positions 37 to 763 of the family's 1533-position model. The record is from RNAcentral.
UGGCGGCAUGCCUUACACAUGCAAGUCGAACGGCAGCACGGGAGCUUGCUCCUGGUGGCGAGUGGCGAACGGGUGAGUAAUAUAUCGGAACGUACCCUAGAGUGGGGGAUAACGCAGCGAAAGUUGCGCUAAUACCGCAUACGAUCUACGGAUGAAAGUGGGGGAUCGCAAGACCUCAUGCUCAUGGAGCGGCCGAUAUCUGAUUAGCUAGUUGGUAGGGUAAAAGCCUACCAAGGCAUCGAUCAGUAGCUGGUCUGAGAGGACGACCAGCCACACUGGAACUGAGACACGGUCCAGACUCCUACGGGAGGCAGCAGUGGGGAAUUUUGGACAAUGGGCGCAAGCCUGAUCCAGCAAUGCCGCGUGAGUGAAGAAGGCCUUCGGGUUGUAAAGCUCUUUUGUCAGGGAAGAAACGGUGGACUCUAAUACAGAUCACUAAUGACGGUACCUGAAGAAUAAGCACCGGCUAACUACGUGCCAGCAGCCGCGGUAAUACAGAGGUCCCAAGCGUUGUUCGGAUUUACUGGGCGUAAAGGGUGCGUAGGUGGCGGGGUAAGUCGGAUGUGAAAUCUCCAGGCUCAACCUGGAAAUGGCAUUGGAAACUACCUUGCUGGAGAGUUGGAGGGGGGACUGGAAUACCUUGGUGUAGCAGUGAAAUGCGUAGAUAUCAAGUGGAACACCAGUGGCGAAGGCGAGUCCCUGGACAACUUCUGACGCUGAGGCACGAAAGCUAG